Molecule: ribosomal RNA, 253 nt
Filed under: uncultured bacterium
Lineage: Bacteria
Description: partial 16S ribosomal RNA
Rfam family: Bacterial small subunit ribosomal RNA
Source: RNAcentral
UACGUAGGGUGCAAGCGUUGUCCGGAUUUAUUGGGUUUAAAGGGUGCGUAGGCGGCCCGAUAAGUCAGUGGUGAAAGCCUCCAGCUCAACUGGAGAACUGCCAUUGAUACUGUCGGGCUUGAGUACAGACGAGGUUGGCGGAAUUGAUUGUGUAGCGGUGAAAUGCAUAGAUACAAUCAAGAACUCCGAUUGCGUAGGCAGCUAACUAGGCUGUAACUGACGCUGAGGCACGAAAGCGUGGGGAGCGAACAGG